RNAcentral lists this ribosomal RNA (1869 nucleotides) under Triticum aestivum (bread wheat). RNAcentral describes it as "partial small subunit ribosomal RNA". Lineage: Eukaryota; Viridiplantae; Streptophyta; Magnoliopsida; Poales; Poaceae. The record is from RNAcentral.
AUGAUCCGCGACGGUGAUCGGCUGGAUGAGGAGUGCAAGGGCCGGACGGUCUACCUUGUGGCAUGCCACUGGGACUUGUCUAUGUGUACCACGCCGUACAACGUGUACAAGAUGGACCUCGCUUCCUCUUCCUCGUCGGCAAUGGCGAAGCGUCUGCACGCAGCCGGCAGCCUGCGCGCCCACGCGGGCGGCAAGUCCUUCAUCUCCUUGCGGUCGAGGCGCCGCUCGUGGAUCGUCGGCGUCGGGGGCGACUCGGGCGAGGUCAUAAUCUUCGACACCAAGUCGGCGAAUCCGGAUAAGGCUGUCAUCCACGGGCCGAACCUCAUGUCCGCCAAGCGGUGCCCUGUCCUCACGGCCGUGGGUGACAAGAUUUAUGCGUUCUGCAAGAGACCCUCCUGGACAUCAGAUCCCGACUUCCCGCCAUGGUUCGAGGUGCUUGAUGUUUCCAAGGCCAGAGUAGUCAGCGACGGCGGCCUCCAGCGCCUCAAGGGGUGCUCCUGGAGCAGCCUACUGAUUCCGCCGUGCAUCCCAUGGAAGCUCAAACCUUGGGAGUACUACAUCUCUCUGCCGUGAGUAUCUACGCUUGAGACCCACGAGGAAACACUGCUAGCUGUGAAGUCGGUGGUUGCAAUCUCCAGCAAGUUGGAACAUCGCUUCAAGAUUAAAGAUGCUAGCAGCGGCGACAUUGUCUGCAGGUUUGGGUUUAUUUUGGUUGGGUGUGUGCAGACGGGGAGCGCACCAGAGCAGAGUUCAGUUCUUGCAGAAGCUGCACAUUGGAGAUAUCAGGAGACUGAACGCAUCCUGCCAGAAGAGACGUCGUCAUUGCCAUCUCUCCCCGCCAAGGCGUUCAACCCACACCUUCCUCUCAGCACCGCCUCCCCUUCCCUCCAUGGCGUCUCCCUUCUCCUCCUCUCCCCUCUUCGAUGUCCCAGAUCCCCUCCGCCUCCAUCCCCCGCUGCGUGCGCCACGCCGGCGGCCGCGUGGCCGCCGCUCCCGGUCUCGCGCCGCUGCCCUCCCCCCCAGUCCAGCGAGCUCGCCGACGAAUCUCGUAUCCAUCAUAUCGCCGUCGCCGGCCGCAUCCCGUCCCAGCCCACCUGCCCGCCGAUGGCCUUCUCCUCGUUCCCAUGGCUGUUCCGCCGCCGAGCCGGCGGCAGCGGCAGCGGCGGAACCGGCCCAAGCAAACCCUCCGCCGCGGAGGGGAAGGAGGAGGACGCGGAGGAGCUCAGCGUCACGCCACAGCUCCUUGACUUCAUCCGGACACUCUCCCCCGACGCCUUCAAGUCCUUCCCCUCCAGCUCCACCAAGGCACCCCCUCCUUCCUCCCUUCUCGGUUUCGCUCCCCUACUAGUUCCCUCUCGAUUACUGGCGGUGCUAUGCUUUGUCGCAGGAGGAUCCGCGGAGUCGGCGGCCGAGCUCUUGGACUGGCAGCAGCGGCACGCCAUCCUCGUUCUCGCCAGAGCCAAGGAACUCGCUAAGGUCCGCUAUGAUCUGUGCCCACGCCACAUGAAGGACAAGCAGUUCUGGACAUACAUCUUGUCGUCCAGCCUGAUUCAAGCUUCCUGGACAUCCACAAGGCAUGCCUUGGCCGCCAUUGAGCAGAAUGCCGCUGGUGGCCGCAGCGGCGACGGAGUGCCGUCUCAGUGGACAAGGGAGUAUCAAGCGAGGCAUCAUCAUCAACACGAGCGAAGUCUUGUUACAGCUGUUGUUCUUGGCCUGAGCAGCAACUCUAUAUUGGCUCAGGAUGAUUUGGUUGCUCCAGCAGCUACAAGUGAGCAAGCUGAUGUAAAUGUGAGGAGUUUAAUAUACUUACUCGGCAACAUGGAAAGUUUCCACAUUUGUUCUAGCUGUCUCAAUGGGUUAGCGACUUAG